Cercocebus atys (sooty mangabey) is the source of this 245-nucleotide long non-coding RNA. RefSeq lists it as uncharacterized. The transcript has 3 exons. The record is from RefSeq and is a predicted model, not a curated record. Lineage: Eukaryota; Metazoa; Chordata; Mammalia; Primates; Cercopithecidae.
GCCGAAGGACACAAAGCUGUCAUCAACUGGAUUUGGAUCAGAUGUGUAAGUCUGUGGGGGCCAAAAGGACAAUGAUCACUGCUGCAGGUCUGUACAUCUUCAGAGUAGAAACCUCUGAGCUGUGAGCUUUCAGUAGAGCCCUACCAGACGCCAAGUGCGUGGAAGCUAACUUCAAACUCUCUGUGAAGAAACCCAUUGUUAAGGAUUUUAGGUGAAAUCUUCUCAUUGUCUUUCAUUUAAGCUGU